This 175-nucleotide small nuclear RNA is filed under the name Meleagris gallopavo (turkey). RNAcentral's name for it is "7SK RNA". It matches the Rfam family "7SK RNA", at positions 1 to 185 of the family's 331-position model. From Rfam's summary of the family: 7SK was discovered as an abundant small nuclear RNA in the mid-70s but a possible function has only recently been suggested. Two independent studies have found that 7SK RNA binds the CDK9/cyclin T complex (known as elongation factor P-TEFb). Lineage: Eukaryota; Metazoa; Chordata; Aves; Galliformes; Phasianidae. The record is from Rfam by way of RNAcentral.
GGAUGUGGGGGCAAUCUGCAACAUCUGUCACUCCACUGAUCACCAGAAUUGAUUCAGCUGAUCUGACUAGCUAGGUGAGUGUUCCCUUCCUCCCUCACCACUCCAUGUAUGUCUCUCCUGAAGCUGCAAAAGGACAGCCUUCUCCAGUAGAGACAUCAGUCUCUUAUCUCCAGUU